Long non-coding RNA from Oncorhynchus tshawytscha (Chinook salmon), 309 nucleotides. Lineage: Eukaryota; Metazoa; Chordata; Actinopteri; Salmoniformes; Salmonidae. The record is from Ensembl.
UGACACUCUGCGCCCUGGUCAAAACCAACCCAGCAGACGUAAUCACGAACGGACCCCCUACGGGAAUCGUUCUCUGCGACAACCCAGGACUCCUCAUAACUAACUGCAGAGUACACACGCAGAGGGUGUACUGUCCUGGCAGAGUUGUGCAGACUCAGGACAACUGAGCUUUGAAGGAAUACGCAGAUUUAAAGAGGAGUCCAGGACCUGAGCCCUAGGACCAUGCCUCAGGACUACCUGACAUGAUGACUCCUUGCUGUCCCCACUCCACCUGGCCGUGCUGCUACUCCAGUUUCAACUGUUCUGCCU